CAGUCGCCGCGGUAAUACGAAGGGUGCAAGCGUUACUCGGAAUUACCGGGCGUAAAGCGUGCGUAGGUGGUGGUUUAAGUCCGUUGUGAAAGCCCUGGGCUCAACCUGGGAAUUGCAGUGGAUACUGGAUCACUAGAGUGUGGUAGAGGAUAGUGGAAUUUCCGGUGUAGCAGUGAAAUGCGUAGAGAUCGGAAGGAACAUCUGUGGCGAAGGCGACUAUCUGGGCCAACACUGACACUGAGGCACGAAAGCGUGGGGAGCAAACAGGAUUAGAUACCCGGGUAGUCCCUGUCUCUUAUAC
RNAcentral lists this ribosomal RNA (301 nucleotides) under uncultured bacterium. Its description in RNAcentral is "partial 16S ribosomal RNA". It matches the Rfam family "Bacterial small subunit ribosomal RNA", at positions 509 to 807 of the family's 1533-position model. The record is from RNAcentral.